UCAGCCGCAAAUUACAAGUGCCAUUAUAAACAGAAACUGUAAGGAUAAUGCAAUUGAAUUGAGAUCUCAGACAUCCAAGGAAGGAUAAAAGCAGCAUACGCUCUCAAGCCUGGCGUAGGCGAAAGCACUUAGGCGGCCACUGCGAAUGUUUUGAGAAACAAG
This is a long non-coding RNA of Populus euphratica (Euphrates poplar), 162 nucleotides long. RefSeq lists it as uncharacterized. The transcript is spliced from 2 exons. Lineage: Eukaryota; Viridiplantae; Streptophyta; Magnoliopsida; Malpighiales; Salicaceae. The record is from RefSeq and is a predicted model, not a curated record.